UACGUAGGGGGCAAGCGUUGUCCGGAAUCAUUGGGCGUAAAGCGAGCGUAGGCGGCCCGAUAAGUCUGCUGUAAAAGUCAACGGCUCAACCGUUGAAAGCCGGUGGAUACUGUCGGGCUAGAGUUCGGAAGAGGCAAGUGGAAUUCCUGGUGUAGCGGUGGAAUGCGCAGAUAUCAGGAGGAACACCUAUAGCGAAGGCAGCUUGCUGGGACGAUACUGACGCUAAGGCUCGAAAGCGUGGGGAGCGAACAGG
RNAcentral lists this ribosomal RNA (253 nucleotides) under uncultured bacterium. Its description in RNAcentral is "partial 16S ribosomal RNA". It matches the Rfam family "Bacterial small subunit ribosomal RNA", at positions 524 to 776 of the family's 1533-position model. The record is from RNAcentral.